RNAcentral lists this non-coding RNA (31 nucleotides) under Mus musculus (house mouse). The record is from RNAcentral. Lineage: Eukaryota; Metazoa; Chordata; Mammalia; Rodentia; Muridae.
AACCAAAGAAAGAAAAAAUUGCCCUAAGAGU